ACGAAAUAUAUAAGAUAUAAUAUGAGACAAUUCUCGCUUGAUAUUCUUGACCUCUAUAACUUCUGAUCAAUGAUUGGAUGCCUCUCUUCAAAAAUCAUUGACCUUCCCUUGCUUAGGUUUCAUGUAUAUAUGUGUAUGCAUGAACAUGAACGCCCUACUGCAGAGGCCAUGAAGAUAAGGGGUUGGGGGAAUCUUGUCGCAGGAGCGGUGGCACCUGCCGGCCGAUUCAUCGGAAAAGUGCCAGCGUCCUUUGACAAGACUCCCUGCUACUUCUUUGCUCGAACAUUCAUGUCAUCGAUCUCUUCUAUGGAUUGUUUCUUCAGAUAAAUUCGUGCGUGGGGCAGGGCUAUGAAGUGACUAGAUUUACAGUCCCUUCCCACACCACGUCACCGGACUGAGCCUGCAGUGGGUGGAUCUGGGUUGUGAGUAACUUGGUCUACUCUGUGGGUUUGAAUAGAAGCCAAAGAUAAUGGACUAGUCCGUUAUGAAAGUUUUAUAAAUUUUGGGCCAGCACUGCUUUAUUAUAUUCAGACUCAUGCUUAUACAGUGAAAUUCAGCAGUCAUCGAAAGUAUAAGAAAUCUAUAUUUUAUUCAAGAAAACAUUUUCUCGAAAAAUAUUUUUGGUAUUUUUUAGUAUUUGAUGCCAGUAUUUUAGUAUUCAAGAAGUGUGGUCCUUGACUUUGUCAAACUAGAUGUCGUUUUGACAUGAAUUAUUAUUAAAUGCAAGUUGAAGAGAUGGUUGGCUGUUUGAUUCAAAAAAAAAAAAAAAAAGAUGGUUGGCUGUCAUGAAGAUAAUGAGAAUCAAUGGCUUCAACUUACUAUUUGUAUUUAAGUUCCAUUCAUCAAUCUGAUGAUGUCAAUGUAUGAGAUCAUAUAUACGUAUCUGAAAAUGACUCUUAUGUUUUAUAUUCAGCCUC
Manihot esculenta (cassava) is the source of this 917-nucleotide long non-coding RNA. RefSeq lists it as uncharacterized. NCBI's taxonomy places the organism in Eukaryota, Viridiplantae, Streptophyta, Magnoliopsida, Malpighiales, Euphorbiaceae. The transcript is spliced from 2 exons. The record is from RefSeq and is a predicted model, not a curated record.